This 406-nucleotide ribosomal RNA is filed under the name uncultured bacterium. RNAcentral's name for it is "partial 16S ribosomal RNA". It matches the Rfam family "Bacterial small subunit ribosomal RNA", at positions 29 to 526 of the family's 1533-position model. The record is from RNAcentral.
AUUGAACGCUGGCGGCAGGCUUAACACAUGCAAGUCGAGCGAGCGGAGGACGGGUGAGUAAUGUCUGGGAAACUGCCUGAGGGAGGGGGAUAACGACUGGAAACGGUAGCUAAUACAGCAUACCAUCAGAUGUGCCCAGAUGGGAUUAGCAAGGAGGUGGGGUAAUGGCUCACCUAGGCGACGAUCCCUAGCGGGUCUGAGAGGAUGACCAGCCACACUGGAACGGGUACACGGUCCAGACUCCUACGGGAGGCAGCAGUGGGGAAUAUUGCACAAUGGGCGCAAGCCUGAUGCAGCCAUGCCGCGUGUGUGAAGAAGGCCUUCGGGUUGUAAAGCACUUUCAGCGAGGAGGCGUUACUCGCAGAAGAAGCACCGGCUAACUCCGUGCCAGCAGCCGCGGUAAUAC